CCAAACUAAAUCCAUUCAAGGGGAAGAGUGGAAGAAUACAACAUGGAGAUUAUAGUGAUAGUAGUUUAUUAAUGUACUCAAGCAUCCUAAAUAGAGAAGAAAAACAAUAAUUCAUGCUGAUAAUCAUGAAUUUAUAGCAAUAAGGAACAUGGAGAAUACAACAUGGAGAUUAUAGUGAUAGUAGUUUAUUAAUGUACUCAAGCAUCCUAAAUAGAGAAGAAAAACAAUAAUUCAUGCUGAUAAUCAUGAAUUUAUAGCAAUAAGGAACAUAUAGAGUAGAGAAUUUUUACAAUGAAGCAAGAAGCUAUUGACUAUAAUCAGAAUCUCCGCUGUAUCAUUUUGUUUACAAUAACUCUCCCUCACCUUUCAGCUCUUUGCCCAAUUUUAAUCCCAAAAUGAAGCUCUCCCUCUUCGCCAAAAUGCUCCCUGAUCUCUCUCUAAUUUUCACUUCCCAAAAGAAAAGAAGAAUCGGGCUUCUCUUCUUCCUCUAGGCUUUCUUUUCUAUUCUCACCUCAUCUCUCCCCUCUUAUUAUUGUCUUCUUCUGCUUCUGAUUUUUCUCUCCUUCACCCCUGAUUUUCUCUUACUUUCUGUUUUUCCAAUUGCCCUACUCUCUGCUCUGUUUAUAUAUGAAGACACUAACACUAGUGAGCCGUGCUCAAUCCUGCUCGAUCAGAAUACCAUCGUUGAACCCCCAAACUUCUCUUUCCUCUCACUUUGAGCAAUGGAUUUUGAGAGGAGACAUGCCCCCUCCUAGUUGUUUUCUAGCUUAAGAAGGAGGGGAAAAAGAGCUGGGAUUAAAUACUCAAAUAAGGAGACCUGAAAACAGACGCUAGAAAGAACACUAGAGAAAAAUCUAUUUAAAGAACUGAAACACAAGAAAAAUGAAACCUCACCCUUGAGACACAAAAAGAGAAAAUUAUUGGCACUGGUUCAUUGGUCAUGAAUCUCAAUGUUUAUAGCACAUGCAUUAUUUGUGCAUGGAUUCAAAAAUAUUUUAUUAAGCAUUAGUCAAGUAUGCAAUAAAGGAAAGAAAGUGUUUUUGGUUCCACAAACUACAUAGCAUUUGAUAGUAAAACCAAUAAAAUCAAUUAUAUUGGACAUAGCUAAGGUAACGUUUACUUGACUUAUCUUGAUGGUAUGAAUUUGGAAAAUGAAAUUUUUUUAUGGCCAAUUUAAGUGAGUAGUUGGAUAUGACAUAAAAUACUAGGGCAUGUUACUAUUAGCAUUAUUUCAAAACUAUAAAUGUUUGAUUUAAAAAGACAAUGAAACUAAGCAAACCUUAAGCAAAUAAUUUUUAAGCCAAUUUGGAUAAAAUAGAGCCAAAGAUUCUGAAAAUAUGUCUUUAAAAUCUUAAAAAUUUUGAGUCAUCACUAAUUCUAUUGAAUGCGAGAUCAAAAGAAAAAGUUAUCGUUUCUUAGACAUCAUAUCUAAGAAGUCUUCAGCAUCACAUUUAAGAGCUUUUUUUGUAAAGAAAAAGUUAACUAUGUAUUAGUAUGGUACCAAAGGGGGUACCACCCAUAUACACAAGAAUUUACAAGGUUGUAAGAGUAUCAAUGACAUCCCCAAAUCUUCAUCCCUAAUAAUCUCAUGCCCCAAAAUAAAAAACCCAAAAUAUUUGAACCACCUAUCUCUUUGCUUAUAUCUAUCAACCUCUAAACCCCCAAAAACUCUCAAAUUUCUUUUUUUUUUCAAAUAACCCAAAAAAUAGUUAGUGAAAUAAUCUUUACUCUUGCCCGAAUAAAUCCCUCCCCAAGCCCAUACCUCAGCAAACAUCGAGCCCAUGGAAACCCAUUGCAUACCUAACAAAUUAUAUAUCAUGCACCAUAAAUCAUACACAAUAGGGCAUCUAAGGAGUAGGUGACAGCAAGUUUGAUUGCAUCACUUAACAAGAAAUUGGAAAACUCUCAAAAUAUAUUACUGAAUAAUUGAAUACUCCAAUAAGUGAAACUAGAAAGCUAUUUUUAAUAAUUUUUAAGUAGUCUUUCUUAAAUAGAAUUACACUAAUAACUAAUAAAAUUAGGAAUACUAAUCUAAAUCGAAAACAUACUAAUAAGAAUAAAAUUCUAAGUUACUAAAAAUAUAAUAAUACUUCUAAAUAAUAUAAUAAUAUACUC
Molecule: long non-coding RNA, 2115 nt
Filed under: Carica papaya (papaya)
Lineage: Eukaryota; Viridiplantae; Streptophyta; Magnoliopsida; Brassicales; Caricaceae
Description: long non-coding RNA (CPAP_LNC005469)
Source: RNAcentral